AACGAACGCUGGCGGCAUGCCUAACACAUGCAAGUCGAACGAGACCUCCGGGUCUAGUGGCGCACGGGUGCGUAACGCGUGGGAAUCUACCCUUGGGUUCGGAAUAACAGUGAGAAAUUACUGCUAAUACCGGAUGAUGUCGAAAGACCAAAGAUUUAUCGCCCGAGGAUGAGCCCGCGUUGGAUUAGCUAGUUGGUGAG
Molecule: ribosomal RNA, 200 nt
Filed under: uncultured bacterium
Lineage: Bacteria
Description: partial 16S ribosomal RNA
Rfam family: Bacterial small subunit ribosomal RNA
Source: RNAcentral